GAGGCGGGGCUAACAUGCAAGUCGAACGAUGAAGCCCUUCGGGGUGGAUUAGUGGCGAACGGGUGAGUAACACGUGGGCAAUCUGCCCUUCACUCUGGGACAAGCCCUGGAAACGGGGUCUAAUACCGGAUAACACUCCUGCCUGCAUGGGUGGGGGUUAAAAGCUCCGGCGGUGAAGGAUGAGCCCGCGGCCUAUCAGCUUGUUGGUGGGGUAAUGGCCUACCAAGGCGACGACGGGUAGCCGGCCUGAGAGGGCGACCGGCCACACUGGGACUGAGACACGGCCCAGACUCCUACGGGAGGCAGCAGUGGGGAAUAUUGCACAAUGGGCGAAAGCCUGAUGCAGCGACGCCGCGUGAGGGAUGACGGCCUUCGGGUUGUAAACCUCUUUCAGCAGGGAAGAAGCGAAAGUGACGGUACCUGCAGAAGAAGCGCCGGCUAACUACGUGCCAGCAGCCGCGGUAAUACGUAGGGCGCAAGCGUUGUCCGGAAUUAUUGGGCGUAAAGAGCUCGUAGGCGGCUUGUCGCGUCGGAUGUGAAAGCCCGGGGCUUAACCCCGGGUCUGCAUUCUAUACGGGCAGGCUAGAGUGUGGUAGGG
RNAcentral lists this ribosomal RNA (598 nucleotides) under Streptomyces sp. Its description in RNAcentral is "bacterial SSU rRNA". It matches the Rfam family "Bacterial small subunit ribosomal RNA", at positions 39 to 656 of the family's 1533-position model. Lineage: Bacteria; Bacillati; Actinomycetota; Actinomycetes; Kitasatosporales; Streptomycetaceae. The record is from RNAcentral.